GAUGAAGUGCCUAAGUGUUUGGAGGGUUUAGCGACCCUUCAGUUGCUGCAGCAAAACGCAUUAAGGCACUCCGCCUGCGGAGUACGACCGCAAGGGUUGAAACUCAAAGGAAUUUGACGGGGGCCCGCACAAAGCGGUGGAGCAUGUGGUUUUAAUUCGAAGCAACGCGAAGAACCUUACCAGGUCUUGACAUCCUUUGACCACUCUAGAGAUAGAGCUUUCCCUUCGGGGACAAAGUGGACAGGUGGUGCAUGGUUGUCGUCAGCUCGUGUCGUGAGAUGUUGGGUUAAGUCCCGCAACGAGCGCAACCCUUAUUGUUAGUUGCCAUCAUUUAGUUGGGCACUCUAGCGAGACUGCCGGUGACAAACCGGAGGAAGGUGGGGAUGACGUCAAAUCAUCAUGCCCCUUAUGACCUGGGCUACACACGUGCUACAAUGGGAAGUACAACGAGUCGCUAGACCGCGAGGUCAUGCAAAUCUCUUAAAGCUUCUCUCAGUUCGGAUUCAGGCUGCAACUCGCCUGCAUGAAGCCGGAAUCGCUAGUAAUCGCGGAUCAGCACGCGCGGUGAAUACGUUCCCGGGCCUGGCACCCGCCCGUCCCCCGAGUGUUUGUAUAUCCGAAGUCGGAGAG
This 630-nucleotide ribosomal RNA is filed under the name Enterococcus faecalis. RNAcentral describes it as "bacterial SSU rRNA". It matches the Rfam family "Bacterial small subunit ribosomal RNA", at positions 801 to 1434 of the family's 1533-position model. Lineage: Bacteria; Bacillati; Bacillota; Bacilli; Lactobacillales; Enterococcaceae. The record is from RNAcentral.